GCCCCCAUCGUCUAGUGGCCAAGGAUGCCGGCUUCUCGAGCCGGAGACCGGGGUUCGAAUCCCCGUGGGGGCA
This 73-nucleotide transfer RNA is filed under the name Candidatus Aenigmatarchaeota archaeon. RNAcentral's name for it is "tRNA-Glu". It matches the Rfam family "tRNA". Rfam says of the family: Transfer RNA (tRNA) molecules are approximately 80 nucleotides in length. Their secondary structure includes four short double-helical elements and three loops (D, anti-codon, and T loops). Further hydrogen bonds mediate the characteristic L-shaped molecular structure. tRNAs have two regions of fundamental functional importance: the anti-codon, which is responsible for specific mRNA codon recognition, and the 3' end, to which the tRNAs corresponding amino acid is attached (by aminoacyl-tRNA synthetases). tRNAs cope with the degeneracy of the genetic code in two manners: having more than one tRNA (with a specific anti-codon) for a particular amino acid; and 'wobble' base-pairing, i.e. permitting non-standard base-pairing at the 3rd anti-codon position. Lineage: Archaea; Nanobdellati; Candidatus Aenigmatarchaeota. The record is from RNAcentral.